This is a non-coding RNA of Ciona intestinalis (vase tunicate), 618 nucleotides long. The record is from RefSeq and is a predicted model, not a curated record. Lineage: Eukaryota; Metazoa; Chordata; Ascidiacea; Phlebobranchia; Cionidae.
GUUGCCAAAAUUAAUAGGCAGUGUUGCUAUUUAGUUUACAUAAAGAUCAAAGAAUAGUUUGUUGUUCAUUUAACUUUGCAUAUCGUAUUAACUUCAACAGUUGUAACACAAAAAACUUUAUACAGCCCAUUAGCGACCACUGGGUUGUAACAAUUGCUGUUAAGUGUCAUGCACAAGCACAAGGACCACAAAGCAGCGACGAACAUCGAACCCGUCUUCUCUGGUUUAGAUGCGAGCACUUUAACCUAUGAGCCACAGCGUGAUACAAAGCAUAUAGCUUCGAACCUUGUAUUCUCUCGUUGUAAUGUAAUAAAGCUAUUGUAGUUCUUAUUUGGGCAAAUAUAUAUUAGUGUGCAUUAAGAUAGAUGCAGCAUAAUAUCCCGUAUUUCCUAUUUGUGUUUUUAACCAUCAACACGAAUAUAAAAAAAACAAUCGUUGUUUACUACUAAACGGGAAGAAACAAUGGAUUAAACAUGUCCCAUCUUACCCCACCUUAUUCCACUUUGACGCAAGCAGGUUCCGCCAUCUUUAUUUCACAGAAAAUGAAAAUCCACGAUAACAAUCGCACCGACAUCUACGUCAUAAUUACCUAUUGUUAUAAACAAAGCUUCCGGACAA